CAGUCGCCGCGGUAAUACGAGGGGGGCAAGCGUUGUUCGGAUUUAUUGGGCGUAAAGGGUGCGUUGGCGGUUUGAUAAGUCUGAUGUGAAAUCUAUGGGCUCAACCCAUAGUCUGCAUUAGAAACUGUCGGGCUUGAGUAUGGGAGAGGUGAGUGGAAUUUCCGGUGUAGCGGUGAAAUGCGUAGAUAUCGGGAGGAACACCUGUGGCGAAAGCGGCUCACUGGACCAUAACUGACGCUGAUGCACGAAAGCUAGGGGAGCAAACAGGAUUAGAUACCCCGGUAGUCCCUGUCUCUUAUAC
Molecule: ribosomal RNA, 301 nt
Filed under: uncultured bacterium
Lineage: Bacteria
Description: partial 16S ribosomal RNA
Rfam family: Bacterial small subunit ribosomal RNA
Source: RNAcentral